This 313-nucleotide unclassified non-coding RNA is filed under the name plant metagenome. Its description in RNAcentral is "partial contains 5.8S ribosomal RNA, internal transcribed spacer 2, and large subunit ribosomal RNA". The stretch from base 1 to 104 matches the Rfam family "5.8S ribosomal RNA", at positions 50 to 154 of the family's 154-position model. The record is from RNAcentral.
GAAAUGCGAUAAGUAAUGUGAAUUGCAGAAUUCCGUGAAUCAUCGAAUCUUUGAACGCACAUUGCGCCCUCUGGUAUUCCGGGGGCAUGCCUGUCCGAGCGUCAUUGCUGCCCUCAAGCACGGCUUGUGUGUUGGGCUUCCGUCCCUGGCAACGGGGACGGGCCCAAAAGGCAGUGGCGGCACCAUGUCUGGUCCUCGAGCGUAUGGGGCUUUGUCACCCGCUCCCGUAGGUCCAGCUGGCAGCUAGCCUCGCAACCAAUCUUUUUAACCAGGUUGACCUCGGAUCAGGUAGGGAUACCCGCUGAACUUAAGC